RNAcentral lists this ribosomal RNA (216 nucleotides) under Glomeromycotina sp. Its description in RNAcentral is "partial small subunit ribosomal RNA". The stretch from base 40 to 216 matches the Rfam family "Eukaryotic small subunit ribosomal RNA", at positions 686 to 864 of the family's 1831-position model. The record is from RNAcentral. Lineage: Eukaryota; Fungi; Glomeromycota.
GGGUCAGUAGGUUGGUCGUGCCACCGGUACGUACUGGUCUCACUGAUUCCUCCUUCCUGAAGAACCGUAAUGCCAUUAAUUUGGUGUUGCGGGGAAACAGGACUGUUACUUUAAGAAAAUUAGAGUGUUUAAAGCAAGCUAACGCUUGAAUACAUUAGCAUGGAAUAAUGAAAUAGGACGAUCGAUCCUAUUUUGUUGGUUUCUAGGAUUGACGUA